AUUGAACGCUGGCGGCAGGCCUAACACAUGCAAGUCGAGCGGCAGCGGAAAGUAGCUUGCUACUUUGCCGGCGAGCGGCGGACGGGUGAGUAAUGUCUGGGAAACUGCCUGAUGGAGGGGGAUAACUACUGGAAACGGUAGCUAAUACCGCAUGACCUCGAAAGAGCAAAGUGGGGGAUCUUCGGACCUCACGCCAUCGGAUGUGCCCAGAUGGGAUUAGCUAGUAGGUGAGGUAAUGGCUCACCUAGGCGACGAUCCCUAGCUGGUCUGAGAGGAUGACCAGCCACACUGGAACUGAGACACGGUCCAGACUCCUACGGGAGGCAGCAGUGGGGAAUAUUGCACAAUGGGCGCAAGCCUGAUGCAGCCAUGCCGCGUGUGUGAAGAAGGCCUUAGGGUUGUAAAGCACUUUCAGCGAGGAGGAAGGCAUCACACUUAAUACGUGUGGUGAUUGACGUUACUCGCAGAAGAAGCACCGGCUAACUCCGUGCCAGCAGCCGCGGUAAUACGGAGGGUGCAAGCGUUAAUCGGAAUUACUGGGCGUAAAGCGCACGCAGGCGGUUUGUUAAGUCAGAUGUGAAAUCCCCGCGCUUAACGUGGGAACUGCAUUUGAAACUGGCAAGCUAGAGUCUUGUAGAGGGGGGUAGAAUUCCAGGUGUAGCGGUGAAAUGCGUAGAGAUCUGGAGGAAUACCGGUGGCGAAGGCGGCCCCCUGGACAAAGACUGACGCUCAGUGCGAAAGCGUGGGGAGCAAACAGG
This 758-nucleotide ribosomal RNA is filed under the name uncultured Enterobacteriaceae bacterium. RNAcentral's name for it is "bacterial SSU rRNA". It matches the Rfam family "Bacterial small subunit ribosomal RNA", at positions 28 to 776 of the family's 1533-position model. The record is from RNAcentral. Lineage: Bacteria; Pseudomonadati; Pseudomonadota; Gammaproteobacteria; Enterobacterales; Enterobacteriaceae.